This 219-nucleotide small RNA is filed under the name Pongo abelii (Sumatran orangutan). Its description in RNAcentral is "processed transcript". The record is from RNAcentral. Lineage: Eukaryota; Metazoa; Chordata; Mammalia; Primates; Hominidae.
GAGCCUCAAAUAUCUGCAAAAUCUGAUACCAAUCCUUUUGAUUGUGAAUUAUAUUCUGUAGCUACCAAAGAAGGAAGAAGAAAACUAGGAAGAAGUAAGCACAAAGAUCUCUUCACAUUCUCCGGGACUGCAGUACCAAAUAUCAGCACAGCGCUUCUUGAAAAAGGAUGUAGAUUUUAAUCUGAACUUUGAACCAUCACUGAGGUGGCCCGCCGGCUU